RNAcentral lists this ribosomal RNA (253 nucleotides) under uncultured bacterium. RNAcentral's name for it is "partial 16S ribosomal RNA". It matches the Rfam family "Bacterial small subunit ribosomal RNA", at positions 524 to 776 of the family's 1533-position model. The record is from RNAcentral.
UACGUAGGUGGCAAGCGUUGUUCGGAAUUACUGGGCGUAAAGCGCGUGUAGGCGGCUCUUCAAGUCAGACGUGAAAGCCCCGGGCUUAACUCGGGAACUGCGUUUGAUACUGUCGAGCUAGAGUGUGGAAGGGGCGAUUGGAAUUCCGUGUGUAGCGGUGAAAUGCGUAGAUAUACGGAGGAACACCAGUGGCGAAAGCGGCUUCCUGGUCCAGCACCGACGUUCAGGCACGAAAGCGUGGGGAGCAAACAGG